This 490-nucleotide ribosomal RNA is filed under the name uncultured bacterium. RNAcentral's name for it is "partial 16S ribosomal RNA". It matches the Rfam family "Bacterial small subunit ribosomal RNA", at positions 28 to 507 of the family's 1533-position model. The record is from RNAcentral.
GAUGAACGCUAGCGGCAGGCCUAAUACAUGCAAGUCGAGGGGCAGCACGUUUCGCAGCAAUGCGGGAUGGUGGCGACCGGCAUACGGGUGAGGAUCGCGUACACAAUCUUCCCAGAGCAGGGGGAUAACCCGGGGAAACCCGGACUAAUACCCCGUAGUUUACUUUGAAGGCCUCUUUGAGGUAAUAAAACUCCGGUGGCUUUGGAUGCGUGUGCGUCCCAUUAGGUAGUUGGCAGGGUAACGGCCUACCAAGCCUUCGAUGGGUAACUGGUGUGAGAGCACGACACGUGUCACGGGCACUGAGACACGAGCGCGAAUCCGACAGGCGGCAGCAGUUACGAAGAUUGGUAGAUGGAAGCAAGUCUGCACCAGCCAUGCCGGGUGAAGGAAGAAGGUCCUCUUGAAUGUAAACUUCUUUUAGAGGGGGAGAAAAAAGGGUUUUUUAACUCACUUGACGGUACCUUAUGAAUAAGCACCGGCUAACUACGUG